CGGGGCGUAGCGCAGCCCGGUAGCGCACUUGACUGGGGGUCAAGGGGUCGUGGGUUCGAAUCCCGCCGCCCCGACCA
RNAcentral lists this transfer RNA (77 nucleotides) under Paenirhizobium daejeonense. RNAcentral's name for it is "Rhizobium daejeonense tRNA-Pro". It matches the Rfam family "tRNA". From Rfam's summary of the family: Transfer RNA (tRNA) molecules are approximately 80 nucleotides in length. Lineage: Bacteria; Pseudomonadati; Pseudomonadota; Alphaproteobacteria; Hyphomicrobiales; Rhizobiaceae. RNAcentral also lists the same sequence under 16 other names. The record is from RNAcentral.